AGUCGAACGCGAAAGCAUCCUUCGGGGUGCGAGUAGAGUGGCGCACGGGUGAGUAACACGUAGACAACCUGCCUUCCAGUCUGGGACAACCCUUUGAAAGAGGGGCUAAUACCGGAUAACACGCUUCAUCGCAUGGUGAAGCGUUGAAAGGCUUGCUGCUGGAAGAGGGGUCUGCGGGACAUUAGCUUGUUGGUGGGGUAACGGCCCACCAAGGCAUUGAUGUCUAGCGGGUCUGAGAGGAUGAUCCGCCACACUGGAACUGAGACACGGUCCAGACUCCUACGGGAGGCAGCAGUGGGGAAUUUUGCGCAAUGGGCGAAAGCCUGACGCAGCAACGCCGCGUGAGUGAAGAAGGCCCUUGGGUCGUAAAGCUCUUUUCUGAGGGAAGAGCAAAGACGGUACCUCAGGAAUAAGCACCGGCUAACUCCGUGCCAGCAGCCGCGGUAAUACGGAGGGUGCAAGCGUUGUUCGGAUUUACUGGGCGUAAAGGGCGUGUAGGCGGAUAUGCAAGCUGGAGGUGAAAGCCCCGGGCUCAACCCGGGAAUUGCUUUGUAGAACUGCAUAUCUAGAGAAAGUCGGAGGCAGGUGGAAUUCCAGGUG
This 600-nucleotide ribosomal RNA is filed under the name uncultured bacterium. Its description in RNAcentral is "bacterial SSU rRNA". It matches the Rfam family "Bacterial small subunit ribosomal RNA", at positions 60 to 675 of the family's 1533-position model. The record is from RNAcentral.